This is a long non-coding RNA of Dermacentor albipictus, 688 nucleotides long. RefSeq lists it as uncharacterized. The record is from RefSeq and is a predicted model, not a curated record. NCBI's taxonomy places the organism in Eukaryota, Metazoa, Arthropoda, Arachnida, Ixodida, Ixodidae.
GGGUACGUGUCAUGAUAUACGGAGCAAGCACGCAAGCAAGCCUUGUUACCUUCCCAUCUUCACGCUGCAGGGGCUGCACGCUGAGGUAGCGGUCAGGGUGCGCCAUGCAGUACUACAACAAGGACGAACCUAACGAUGUCCGAACCCACGGACUCUCAAGCACGCUGGUCGCGUACGUCGUCAUCAUGGUUGCCAUCAUGUUCAUCUUUUCCUUCGCCAUUUUCGUGUAUGCUCAAAAGAAGAGGAACUGCAAGGAACAGGGGCUCUCCAGUCGGACGCUGGAAGACGUGUAUGAACGACAGGCCACGGUGUAUGAAUCAGACCAGGUGACGUCGACGCCGAAACCCGGCUACGUUGCUGCCACCUCCAGGCGCACAACAGAGAGUGGUGUGCUGGAAACUUUCGCGAACUUGGCGCAAUGGUGAAGCUUAGUGGCACUCCCUAUUUGUGUAUUGGUUUUUACUUUUCUUCCUUGCGAGAACCUACUCAUCUUGGACAGCUACGCACGGCAAUUCUCAAAAAGAAAAAGAAAGUGUAAGAGCUCAACUUAUACCCAAAGAGAUAAUCUUUUCGAUUACAUAUUAUUCGUGUCGGCGGUCAUGAGAAAUCGUGCAAUAAUCACACCUGCUCAGUUAGCUGGGAUUCACUAUCCUUCUCGUUAAUUCAUUUAAUGAAAAUUUUGCAACCU